Molecule: long non-coding RNA, 789 nt
Organism: Homo sapiens (human)
Lineage: Eukaryota; Metazoa; Chordata; Mammalia; Primates; Hominidae
Product: long intergenic non-protein coding RNA 511
Source: Ensembl
AGCUUUUGCUCUGUUUCCUGGUCUCUGAAUGCGGUAGCUGUGUCCCCGGCCUGCAACGAGGGCAUAUCAUGUAACUCCUCCCGGCUUCAUUCCUAUGCAGGACAGGUAUUUUUCCCUCUCCACCCUGGUCUUCUCCUGUAACGUGUGGCCGCCUUUUCCAGCACGGCCUCCUGCCUUCCUGGUGCACUUUUUGGAGAACGUGGUGGAAUCAGAGGUUUCUGGCUGACUCGGUGGGUGCUUUGAACCAGGAAAGGACAAGAAAGAGGUGCCACCUCCUGAGUCCUGGUUCCUGCGGCUCCGUCGAAUCUGCAGUGAAGGCCUUUGGGAAGCGUGGGUUAUGUGGGUCCAGGGGUCCCAUCCUCCCGUGGAGGCCCUUGACCUGAGGAUCACUAACUCACACCCCACCGACUUCCGGCCCCCAACAAGGGCAGUGUUCCUCUUGCUCCAUUCUGCUCUGAAGUCCCCCAAACCGCUUCCUGGGGCUGCUUAGUGAAAUACAAGGCUCAUCUCUGAGGACCUCUACAGGGCUGGAUGGGAAGGACUGAUCCACAUUCCCACCAGGAAGUUUAGCAGAACCCCCGCGUGCCACCUGGACCCCUUGGAAGGACCUGGCUCAGGCUGGACCACCUCUUGAGAGGCAGGAGCUCUGGAUUUGAUCAAGAAUUCUUUGCUGAGCAUGGUGCCUCAUGCCUAUAAUCCCAACACUUUGGGAGGCCAGUGUGGGAGGAUCUCUUGAGCCCAGGAGUUCAAGACUAGCCUGGGCAACACAGAGAGACCCCAUCUCUAAAA